RNAcentral lists this long non-coding RNA (242 nucleotides) under Phoenix dactylifera (date palm). RNAcentral describes it as "long non-coding RNA (PDAC_LNC012475)". The record is from RNAcentral. Lineage: Eukaryota; Viridiplantae; Streptophyta; Magnoliopsida; Arecales; Arecaceae.
UCCUGGUACUCUGUUCUCCGAGGUAUCAUUGACCCUUUGGUGUAGUGGGGGUGCGACAAGUGUCCGUCAAUCUGGGUGGAGCGAUGACCAAUUAUAUCGAUCUUGGCUGUUCAAGGAUUUAUAAAAAGGGUAGGCAUCCCUGCUGGUUUGCCAUACCAGAAGAGGUUCCAAGCAUUCUAUCUGCUGCCUUGAAGGAGAUUCCUACAAAGCCAAUCCCCUUAUUUGCUUUAGGAACAUGCUUG